RNAcentral lists this ribosomal RNA (404 nucleotides) under Actinomycetes bacterium. RNAcentral's name for it is "Actinobacteria bacterium partial 16S ribosomal RNA". It matches the Rfam family "Bacterial small subunit ribosomal RNA", at positions 355 to 776 of the family's 1533-position model. Lineage: Bacteria; Bacillati; Actinomycetota; Actinomycetes. The record is from RNAcentral.
UGGGGAAUAUUGGACAAUGGGCGCAAGCCUGAUCCAGCCAUGCCGCGUGAGUGAUGAAGGCCCUAGGGUUGUAAAGCUCUUUCACCGGUGAAGAUAAUGACGGUAACCGGAGAAGAAGCCCCGGCUAACUUCGUGCCAGCAGCCGCGGUAAUACGAAGGGGGCUAGCGUUGUUCGGAUUUACUGGGCGUAAAGCGCACGUAGGCGGACUUUAAAGUCAGGGGUGAAAUCCCGGGGCUCAACCCCGGAACUGCCUUUGAUACUGGAAGUCUUGAGUAUGGUAGAGGUGAGUGGAAUUCCGAGUGUAGAGGUGAAAUUCGUAGAUAUUCGGAGGAACACCAGUGGCGAAGGCGGCUCACUGGACCAUUACUGACGCUGAGGUGCGAAAGCGUGGGGAGCAAACGGG